UGAGGAAUAUUGGUCAAUGGGCGGGAGCCUGAACCAGCCAAGUCGCGUGAGGGAGGAAGGUCCUACGGAUUGUAAACCUCUUUAGCCGGGGAGCAACGUGCGCCACGUGUGGCGCAGUGAGAGUACCCGGAGAAUAAGCAUCGGCUAACUCCGUGCCAGCAGCCGCGGUAAUACGGAGGAUGCGAGCGUUAUCCGGAUUUAUUGGGUUUAAAGGGAGCGUAGGCCGGAGGGUAAGCGUGUUGUGAAAUGCAGUUGCUCAACAUCUGCACUGCAGCGCGAACUGUUCUCCUUGAGUGCGCAGGAAGUAGGCGGAAUUCGUCGUGUAGCGGUGAAAUGCUUAGAUAUGACGAGGAACUCCGAUUGGGAAGCCAGCUUACUGUAGC
RNAcentral lists this ribosomal RNA (383 nucleotides) under uncultured Prevotella sp. RNAcentral describes it as "bacterial SSU rRNA". It matches the Rfam family "Bacterial small subunit ribosomal RNA", at positions 355 to 735 of the family's 1533-position model. The record is from RNAcentral. Lineage: Bacteria; Pseudomonadati; Bacteroidota; Bacteroidia; Bacteroidales; Prevotellaceae.